Molecule: ribosomal RNA, 253 nt
Filed under: uncultured bacterium
Lineage: Bacteria
Description: partial 16S ribosomal RNA
Rfam family: Bacterial small subunit ribosomal RNA
Source: RNAcentral
UACGGAGGGAGCUAGCGUUGUUCGGAAUUACUGGGCGUAAAGCGCGCGUAGGCGGCUUUGUAAGUUAGAGGUGAAAGCCCGGGGCUCAACCCCGGAACUGCCUUUAAGACUGCAUCGCUUGAAUCCGAGAGAGGUGAGUGGAAUUCCGAGUGUAGAGGUGAAAUUCGUAGAUAUUCGGAAGAACACCAGUGGCGAAGGCGGCUCACUGGACCGGUAUUGACGCUGAGGUGCGAAAGCGUGGGGAGCAAACAGG